Molecule: ribosomal RNA, 484 nt
Filed under: uncultured bacterium
Lineage: Bacteria
Description: partial 16S ribosomal RNA
Rfam family: Bacterial small subunit ribosomal RNA
Source: RNAcentral
AUUGAACGCUGGCGGCAUGCUUUACACAUGCAAGCCGAACGGCAGCGCGGGCUUCGGCCUGGCGGCGAGUGGCGAACGGGUGAGUAAUGCAUCGGAACGUGCCCAGUAGUGGGGGAUAGCCCGGCGAAAGCCGGAUUAAUACCGCAUACGACCUGAGGGUGAAAGCGGGGGACCGAAAGGCCUCGCGCUAUUGGAGCGGCCGAUGUCGGAUUAGCUAGUUGGUGGGGUAAAGGCUUACCAAGGCGACGAUCCGUAGCUGGUCUGAGAGGACGACCAGCCACACUGGGACUGAGACACGGCCCAGACUCCUACGGGAGGCAGCAGUGGGGAAUUUUGGACAAUGGGGGCAACCCUGAUCCAGCCAUGCCGCGUGCGGGAAGAAGGCCUUCGGGUUGUAAACCGCUUUUGUUCGGGAAGAAAUCCUCUGGGCUAAUACCCCGGGGGGAUGACGGCACCGGAAGAAUAAGCACCGGCUAACUACGUG